ACGUCAGUAGCUCAACUGGUAGAGCAGCGGUCUCCAAAACCGCAGGUUGGGGGUUCGAGUCCCUCCUGACGUGCGA
Molecule: transfer RNA, 76 nt
Filed under: Ignavibacteriales bacterium CG07_land_8_20_14_0_80_59_12
Lineage: Bacteria; Pseudomonadati; Ignavibacteriota; Ignavibacteria; Ignavibacteriales
Description: tRNA-Trp
Rfam family: tRNA
About the family: Transfer RNA (tRNA) molecules are approximately 80 nucleotides in length. Their secondary structure includes four short double-helical elements and three loops (D, anti-codon, and T loops).
Source: RNAcentral